UACGUAGGGGGCAAGCGUUGUCCGGAUUUAUUGGGCGUAAAGAGCGUGUAGGCGGUCAGGUAGGUCCGUUGUGAAAACCCGAGGCUCAACCUCGGGCCUGCAGCCGAUACGGGCAGACUAGAGUUCGGCAGGGGAGACUGGAAUUCCUGGUGUAGCGGUGAAAUGCGCAGAUAUCAGGAGGAACACCGGUGGCGAAGGCGGGUCUCUGGGCCGAUACUGACGCUGAGGAGCGAAAGCGUGGGGAGCGAACAGG
This 253-nucleotide ribosomal RNA is filed under the name uncultured bacterium. RNAcentral's name for it is "partial 16S ribosomal RNA". It matches the Rfam family "Bacterial small subunit ribosomal RNA", at positions 524 to 776 of the family's 1533-position model. The record is from RNAcentral.